AGGACGAACGCUGGCGGCGUGCUUAACACAUGCAAGUCGAGCGGUAAGGCCCUUCGGGGUACACGAGCGGCGAACGGGUGAGUAACACGUGGGUGAUCUGCCCUGCACUCUGGGAUAAGCCUGGGAAACUGGGUCUAAUACUGGAUAUGACCUGUCCUCGCAUGGGGGGUGGGUGGAAAGAUUUAUCGGUGCAGGAUGGGCCCGCGGCCUAUCAGCUUGUUGGUGGGUAAUGGCCCACCGAAGGCGACGACGGGUAGCCGACCUGAGAGGGUGACCGGCCACACGUGGGACUGAGACACGGCCCAGACUCCUACGGGAGCAGCAGGUGGGAAUAUGCACAAGUGGGACGAAAGCCUGAUGCAGCGACGCCGCGUGAGGAUAGGAAGGUCCGUUACGGGUAGUAACCGUCUUUAC
This 414-nucleotide ribosomal RNA is filed under the name uncultured soil bacterium. RNAcentral's name for it is "bacterial SSU rRNA". It matches the Rfam family "Bacterial small subunit ribosomal RNA", at positions 26 to 438 of the family's 1533-position model. The record is from RNAcentral.